AUAUGUAUGAGCUUUAGAUGAACAAUUGUUUAAACUGGGGUUGUUACUAUAUGAACAGGUUUUGAAAAAUGAUAGAGAAAAUGAGUUCUUAUUAUCUGCUCACAGAACAAGUAUUUUAGUUUUUGUUAUAUAUUAUACAAAAAAAAAGCGAAAACUACCUAACAGGUUUCUUUUGCCAAAGAGGCAAAAAACGAAAAAGAAACAGCAUUUCUAUUUUCAGCUUUCAAAAGCAGAAAACUGACAGUGAUGCUAAAUGCAACUUAAGUUAUAAGUAUUUUGUAACAUUUAGGAUUUUUUUGCCAAUGCUUCUAAUCUCCUUCAUACCCUAAACCUAUUAAGAGCUCUAUACAUCGAAUCCUGCUCAAGCUUCUCUUUUAGGAAAUGAAGGUCUCGCGAGUCACUCAUUGAACUUCAGACCAUACAUUUACUUUGUUCUUAAAAUGAUACUUUACCUCCUUUUGUAUAGAACA
This 470-nucleotide long non-coding RNA is filed under the name Phoenix dactylifera (date palm). RNAcentral's name for it is "long non-coding RNA (PDAC_LNC018268)". Lineage: Eukaryota; Viridiplantae; Streptophyta; Magnoliopsida; Arecales; Arecaceae. The record is from RNAcentral.